GUUGCUGGCCCUUUCGGGGGCAUGUGCACACCCAUCAUCCUCAUCUCUCCACCUGUGCACCUCUUGUAGACUUGGAUUGACUUUCCGAGGCAACUCGGUCGGGAGGACUUGCUGGCAUUGGCUGGCUUUCCUUGCAUUUCCAAGUCUAUGUUUUUUCAUAUACCCCAUUGAAUGUAACAGAAUGUAACAUAUUGGGCCUUUGUGCCUAUAAAAACUUAUACAACUUUCAGCAACGGAUCUCUUGGCUCUCGCAUCGAUGAAGAACGCAGCGAAAUGCGAUAAGUAAUGUGAAUUGCAGAAUUCAGUGAAUCAUCGAAUCUUUGAACGCACCUUGCGCUCCUUGGUAUUCCGAGGAGCAUGCCUGUUUGAGUGUCAUUAAAUUCUCAACUAUUAUCAGCUUUUGCUGAUGAUGGCUUGGAUAUGGGGGUUUAUUUUGCUGGCUUCACAGAAUGUCAGCUCCCCUUAAAUGCAUUAGCCGGUGCCCCGCGUGGACUGUCUAUUGGUGUGAUAAUUAUCUACGCCGUGGACAUCUACAAUCAUAUGGGUUU
This 548-nucleotide ribosomal RNA is filed under the name Panellus stipticus. RNAcentral's name for it is "eukaryotic LSU rRNA". The stretch from base 222 to 375 matches the Rfam family "5.8S ribosomal RNA". Lineage: Eukaryota; Fungi; Basidiomycota; Agaricomycetes; Agaricales; Mycenaceae. The record is from RNAcentral.